RNAcentral lists this ribosomal RNA (250 nucleotides) under uncultured bacterium. Its description in RNAcentral is "partial 16S ribosomal RNA". It matches the Rfam family "Bacterial small subunit ribosomal RNA", at positions 524 to 773 of the family's 1533-position model. The record is from RNAcentral.
UACGUAGGGUGCGAGCGUUAAUCGGAAUUACUGGGCGUAAAGCGUGCGCAGGCGGUUAUCCAAGUCAGAUGUGAAAUCCCCGGGCUUAACCUGGGAAUUGCGUUUGAAACUAGAUGGCUAGAGUGUGGCAGAGGGGGGUAGAAUUCCACGUGUAGCAGUGAAAUGCGUAGAGAUGUGGAGGAAUACCGAUGGCGAAGGCAGCCCCCUGGGCUAACACUGACGCUCAUGCACGAAAGCGUGGGGAGCAAAC